RNAcentral lists this ribosomal RNA (447 nucleotides) under uncultured bacterium. RNAcentral describes it as "bacterial SSU rRNA". It matches the Rfam family "Bacterial small subunit ribosomal RNA", at positions 355 to 825 of the family's 1533-position model. The record is from RNAcentral.
UGGGGAAUAUUGGACAAUGGGGGGAACCCUGAUCCAGCAAUGCCGCGUGAAGGAUGAAGUAUUUCGGUAUGUAAACUUCGAAAGAAUAGGAAGAAUAAAUGACGGUACUAUUUAUAAGGUCCGGCUAACUACGUGCCAGCAGCCGCGGUAAUACGUAGGGACCAAGCGUUGUUCGGAUUUACUGGGCGUAAAGGGCGCGUAGGCGGCAAUUCAAGUCAUCUGUGAAAUCUCCGGGCUUAACUCGGAACGGUCAGAUGAUACUGCUUUGCUAGAGUGCAGAAGGGGCAAUCGGAAUUCUUGGUGUAGCGGUGAAAUGCGUAGAUAUCAAGAGGAACACCUGAGGCGAAGGCGGGUUGCUGGGCUGAUACUGACGCUGAGGCGCGAAAGCUAGGGUAGCAAACGGGAUUAGAUACCCCAGUAGUCCCUGAGCGGGCUGGCAAGGCGCAU